CAGUAGCCACGGUAAUACGAAGGGGGCUAGCGUUGCUCGGAAUUACUGGGCGUAAAGGGAGCGUAGGCGGACAUUUAAGUCAGGGGUGAAAUCCCAGAGCUCAACUCUGGAACUGCCUUUGAUACUGGGUGUCUUGAGUGUGAUAGAGGUAUGUGGAACUCCGAGUGUAGAGGUGAAAUUCGUAGAUAUUCGGAAGAACGCCAGUGGCGAAGGCGACAUACUGGAUCAUUACUGACGCUGAGGCUCGAAAGCGUGGGGAGCAAACAGGAUUAGAUACCCCAGUAGUCCCUGUCUCUUAUAC
This 301-nucleotide ribosomal RNA is filed under the name uncultured bacterium. Its description in RNAcentral is "partial 16S ribosomal RNA". It matches the Rfam family "Bacterial small subunit ribosomal RNA", at positions 509 to 807 of the family's 1533-position model. The record is from RNAcentral.